This 68-nucleotide transfer RNA is filed under the name Galeopterus variegatus (Sunda flying lemur). RNAcentral's name for it is "tRNA-Val". It matches the Rfam family "tRNA". Rfam says of the family: Transfer RNA (tRNA) molecules are approximately 80 nucleotides in length. Their secondary structure includes four short double-helical elements and three loops (D, anti-codon, and T loops). Further hydrogen bonds mediate the characteristic L-shaped molecular structure. tRNAs have two regions of fundamental functional importance: the anti-codon, which is responsible for specific mRNA codon recognition, and the 3' end, to which the tRNAs corresponding amino acid is attached (by aminoacyl-tRNA synthetases). tRNAs cope with the degeneracy of the genetic code in two manners: having more than one tRNA (with a specific anti-codon) for a particular amino acid; and 'wobble' base-pairing, i.e. permitting non-standard base-pairing at the 3rd anti-codon position. Lineage: Eukaryota; Metazoa; Chordata; Mammalia; Dermoptera; Cynocephalidae. The record is from RNAcentral.
CAAAGUGUAGCUUAACCUAAAGCACCCGGCUUACACCCGGAAGAUUUCACACUAACUGACCACUUUGA